AUUGAACGCUGGCGGCAGGCCUAACACAUGCAAGUCGAACGGUAACAGGAAGCAGCUUGCUGCUUUGCUGACGAGUGGCGGACGGGUGAGUAAUGUCUGGGAAACUGCCCGAUGGAGGGGGAUAACUACUGGAAACGGUAGCUAAUACCGCAUAACGUCGCAAGACCAAAGAGGGGGACCUUAGGGCCUCUUGCCAUCGGAUGUGCCCAGAUGGGAUUAGCUAGUAGGUGGGGUAACGGCUCACCUAGGCGACGAUCCCUAGCUGGUCUGAGAGGAUGACCAGCCACACUGGAACUGAGACACGGUCCAGACUCCUACGGGAGGCAGCAGUGGGGAAUAUUGCACAAUGGGAGCAAGCCUGAUGCAGCCAUGCCGCGUGUAUGAAGAAGGCCUUCGGUUUGUAAAGUACUUUCAGCGGGGAGGAAGGGAGUAAAGUUAAUACCUUUGCUCAUUGACGUUACCCGCAGAAGAAGCACCGGCUAACUCCGUG
Molecule: ribosomal RNA, 490 nt
Filed under: uncultured bacterium
Lineage: Bacteria
Description: partial 16S ribosomal RNA
Rfam family: Bacterial small subunit ribosomal RNA
Source: RNAcentral